This is a small nucleolar RNA of Medicago truncatula (barrel medic), 107 nucleotides long. It matches the Rfam family "Plant small nucleolar RNA R71". From Rfam's summary of the family: R71 is a member of the C/D box family of snoRNAs containing the C (UGAUGA) and D (CUGA) box motifs. Multiple nearly identical copies of this snoRNA have been identified in Arabidopsis, and it is thought to function as a 2'-O-ribose methylation guide for 18S ribosomal RNA. Lineage: Eukaryota; Viridiplantae; Streptophyta; Magnoliopsida; Fabales; Fabaceae. The record is from Rfam.
AAACCAUGGUGGGGACAAAGUCUAAGCAUUUCCUUGAAACGCUCUCACGCAUCAUAAAGAGACUCCCCAUAUUUUUGAUUGAAACAUGUGAUUUGGUCUCUUAAUUU